GGGGGCAUAGCUCAGCUGGGAGAGCGCCAGCUUUGCAAGCUGGAUGUCAGGGGUUCGAAUCCCCUUGCCUCCACCA
This 76-nucleotide transfer RNA is filed under the name Verrucomicrobiota bacterium. RNAcentral describes it as "Verrucomicrobia bacterium (activated sludge metagenome) tRNA-Ala". It matches the Rfam family "tRNA". From Rfam's summary of the family: Transfer RNA (tRNA) molecules are approximately 80 nucleotides in length. The record is from RNAcentral. Lineage: Bacteria; Pseudomonadati; Verrucomicrobiota.